AAUGAAGAGGAGCCCCCAACCCCACCCCAGCUCUUCAGUGACAGUCACAACCCCACUGCCAGGAUCAAGAACAGAAGCCACAUCUGAUUUUUGUAAUCCCAAAUGCUAAACCUAAAUUCCCCAGAUGUGUCUCAACUCUAAGUGAAAUUUGUUCUUCUCAAAUAUGGUCAUUAAAGAAAGACUGGAGCUGUUCAAAGCAAGGAUUCCCAAGCCCUGAAGACAGCUUGAAAACAAAGAAGGUAUGUCAUUUAGUAGGUGGCACAAAACAUGGGAGGUCAGACCAUGCUUAGGCUUGGCGCUGUAUAGGAGCCUCAAAAUGUCCAUCUUGAAUUGAUAUUUAUUUGAAUGUAAAAGUCCUGUUAUAAACCUAAAAUCUACCUUAAUAUUUUGCAGAAGAAUAUUCUCUGUUAUUAUAUGCACAUAUAGAAAGAGCCAGGUACAUGGAACCGUUCAGAUUAGAGGCCCUUUCAGUGUGAUUUGUGCAUGUAAUGCGACUCGGGCUAUGUUUUACACAUUUUAACUUAGAUAAAAACUCAAAUGUAUUUUUCUAAGCCCCUCUUUCCAUAAUUCUUAAUCCCACGUGCAUUUUAAAGGAAAUGAAUUCCGUGUGUUUCUUAUUCUGUACACUUAACUCGUCAAGCAAUGCUUUGUAAGGAGCCUUUGAUAUCCAAGAAGCCCUUUGAGUCUUUUUAUGGGACUUUUUAAGCCUUUCUCCUCUGAAACAGGAAGUCAUGUUUGGCCACAACCAAAAGAACUCACAUACCAAAUGGUUUAAGUUCAACUUGAAAAGGCCACACCAUGGGGCUCGGAUGGUCGCAACAUGGCAACAUAUGUUCUCUGCCCUUGUAGAAAAAGGAGAUCUUACACUGAAAAAGCCCAAGGCCAGUUUUCAAUGUGACUACAUGAUCCUGUCAUGCCUGGAGGAAGGUAUCUGAAGAUCAAUUUUACCAGCAUCCCUCUCUGAUGGAGUUUGAAUGACCCUUGGGGUCAUUAAUCGCAGCAACUUACAUUUGGAUAUUUUCCAAAUGCUUUCCAGUUUGUUAUCUCUCAUGACCCUUGCAACCACCUCCACAAGAAGAUAAGACAGGUAUUAAUAUGGCUGUUUGACAAGAAGAUAACCAGUUGAAGAGAAUUUAACUAACUGCCCUUCAGGUAAUAGACGUAGUUAAUUGAUAAGGAGGUAGAUGCCCGUGCACAGACAAAAAAGUCUAGCUCUGCCCAAGGGCCUUCAGAGGGUUGUUGCAAAAUGGCAGGAAAACUACCCCAGAGUCCAGGGUGUGUA
Molecule: long non-coding RNA, 1282 nt
Filed under: Mus spicilegus (steppe mouse)
Lineage: Eukaryota; Metazoa; Chordata; Mammalia; Rodentia; Muridae
Description: lncRNA (ENSMSIG00000025637.1)
Source: RNAcentral